UCCCCUAUGGCUCAGCUGGUAAAGAAUCCACCUGCAAUGUGGGAGAUCUGGGUUCAAUCCCUGGUUUGGGAG
Bos taurus (domestic cattle) is the source of this 72-nucleotide non-coding RNA. The record is from Rfam. Lineage: Eukaryota; Metazoa; Chordata; Mammalia; Artiodactyla; Bovidae.